UUUCAAAAGAACUCCCUGUUUAUUGUGGCACUAUUAGGGAAAAAAGUCAGAAAAGUUUGGCUGGGAUCACAGAGGUAAGUUAUCCCCUGAGAUUCCUUGAAUUCCAAAAGGAGCAAAACCUCUCAAGAAUUGAUCUCCUCCAAGAUGAGAACAACUUUUCAUUAAGGUACCGGGACUGAAUUCCCCAACUUCUUCAAGCCUGUCUCCAACUGCGACCUGUUCCUUAAGCUCUCGAUCAUGUUCCUGCUGUUU
Long non-coding RNA from Mus caroli (Ryukyu mouse), 252 nucleotides. RefSeq lists it as uncharacterized. NCBI's taxonomy places the organism in Eukaryota, Metazoa, Chordata, Mammalia, Rodentia, Muridae. The record is from RefSeq and is a predicted model, not a curated record.